GACUGGAUAGGAAGAAAUAAGGCAUCUUAUUUCUUUUAAAAGACCUAGUAAUAGGUAUACUUUAGGAGGGGCUUGCGCCAUAUUAGUUAGUUGGUAGGGUAAUGGCCUACCAAGACGAUGAUGUGUAGCUGGACUGAGAGGUUGAACAGCCACAUUGGGACUGAGACACGGCCCAAACUCCUACGGGAGGCAGCAGUAAGGAAUUUUCGGCAAUGGAGGAAACUCUGACCGAGCAACGCCGCGUGAACGACGAAGUACUUUGGUAUGUAAAGUUCUUUUAUCAAGGAAGAAAAGCAAGUGGCGAACCAUUUGUUUGCCGGUACUUGAUGAAUAAGCCCCGGCUAAUUAUGUGCCAGCAGCCGCGGUAAGACAUAAGGGGCAAGUGUUAUCCGGAAUUAUUGGGCGUAAAGGGUGCGUAGGCGGUCUAGUAAGUCAGUGGUGUAAUGGCAACGCUCAACGUUGUCCGGCUAUUGAAACUGCUAAACUUGAGUUAGAUAGAGGCGAGUGGAAUUCCAUGUGUAGCGGUAAAAUGCGUAAAUAUAUGGAGGAACACCAGAGGCGUAGGCGGCUCGCUGGGUCUUAACUGACGCUGAGGCACGAAAGCGUGGGGAGCAAACAGGAUUAGAUACCCUGGUAGUCCACGCCGUAAACGAUGAGUACUAAGUGUCGGGUUAAACCGGUACUGAAGUUAACACAUUAAGUACUCCGCCUGAGUAGUACGUACGCAAGUAUGAAACUUAAAGGAAUUGACGGGACUCCGCACAAGCGGUGGAUCAUGUUGUUUAAUUCGAAGAUACCCGAAAAACCUUACCAGGUCUUGACAUGUUUUUGCGAAACGGUAGUAAUAUCGUAGAGGUUAUCAGAAACACAGGUGGUGCAUGGUUGUCGUCAGCUCGUGUCGUGAGAUGUUAGGUUAAGUCCUAAAACGAGCGAAACCCUUAUCGUUAGUUGCCAGCACGUUAUGGUGGGGACUUUAACGAGACUGCCAGUGAUAAACUGGAGGAAGGUGAGGAUCACGUCAAAUCAGCAUGCCCCUUAUGACCUGGGCUACAAACGUGAUACAAUGGCUGUUACAAAGGGUAGCUGAAACGUAAGUUCUUGGCCAAUCCCCAAAAACAGUCUCAGUCCGGAUUGAAGUCUGCAACUCGACUUCAUGAAGUUGGAAUCCCUAGUAAUCCCGAAUCCACCUGUCCGGGUGAAAACCUUUGACAGGUUGUACACACCGCCCGUCAAACCACGAAAGU
This 1244-nucleotide ribosomal RNA is filed under the name 'Opuntia abjecta' phytoplasma. RNAcentral's name for it is "bacterial SSU rRNA". It matches the Rfam family "Bacterial small subunit ribosomal RNA", at positions 167 to 1411 of the family's 1533-position model. Lineage: Bacteria; Bacillati; Mycoplasmatota; Mollicutes; Acholeplasmatales; Acholeplasmataceae. The record is from RNAcentral.